This 332-nucleotide unclassified non-coding RNA is filed under the name soil metagenome. RNAcentral's name for it is "partial contains 5.8S ribosomal RNA, internal transcribed spacer 2, and large subunit ribosomal RNA". The stretch from base 1 to 120 matches the Rfam family "5.8S ribosomal RNA", at positions 35 to 154 of the family's 154-position model. The record is from RNAcentral.
GAUGAAGAACGUAGCAAAAUGCGAUAAGUAAUGUGAAUUGCAGAAUUCAGUGAAUCAUCGAAUCUUUGAACGCACAUUGCGCCCGCCAGUAUUCUGGCGGGCAUGCCUGUUCGAGCGUCAUUUCAACCCUCAAGCACAGCUUGGUGUUGGGACUCGCGUUAAUUCGCGUUCCCCAAAUUGAUUGGCGGUCACGUCGAGCUUCCAUAGCGUAGUAGUAAAACCCUCGUUACUGGUAAUCGUCGCGGCCACGCCGUUAAACCCCAACUUCUGAAUGUUCACCUCGGAUCAGGUAGGAAUACCCGCUGAACUUAAGCAUAUCAAUAAGCGGAGGA